Molecule: ribosomal RNA, 496 nt
Filed under: uncultured bacterium
Lineage: Bacteria
Description: partial 16S ribosomal RNA
Rfam family: Bacterial small subunit ribosomal RNA
Source: RNAcentral
AUGCACGCUGGCGGCGUGCCUCAUCCAUGCAAGUCGAGCGAACAGACGAGGAGCUUGCUCCUCUGACGUUAGCGGCGGACGGGUGAGUAACACGUGGAUAACCUACCUAUAAGACUGGGAUAACUUCGGGAAACCGGAGCUAAUACCGGAUAAUAUAUUGAACCGCAUGGUUCAAUAGUGAAAGACGGUUUUGCUGUCACUUAUAGAUGGAUCCGCGCCGCAUUAGCUAGUUGGUAAGGUAACGGCUUACCAGGGCAACGAUGCGUAGCCGACCUGAGAGGGUGAUCGGCCACACUGGAACUGAGACACGGUCCAGACUCCUACGGGAGGCAGCAGUAGGGAAUCUUCCGCAAUGGGCGAAAGCCUGACGGAGCAACGCCGCGUGAGUGAUGAAGGUCUUCGGAUCGUAAAACUCUGUUAUUAGGGAAGAACAAAUGUGUAAGUAACUAUGCACGUCUUGACGGUACCUAAUCAGAAAGCCACGGCUAACUACGUG